This 1290-nucleotide long non-coding RNA is filed under the name Ananas comosus (pineapple). RNAcentral's name for it is "long non-coding RNA (ACOM_LNC023295)". The record is from RNAcentral. Lineage: Eukaryota; Viridiplantae; Streptophyta; Magnoliopsida; Poales; Bromeliaceae.
UUAUGUACAUAGUGGACUUAACUCGCCAGUGCGAGUAACUCUGUAUUUUGGAUUUGGACUAUGUAUAUUAAACUCAGUUUGUUUAGCUUUUGUUUUCUCUCGUAGCUCUAUACUACUGUUUGUAGUAUUGUAUAUUUACAGGUACAGCUGUCGCUUCGUGUACAAAGGAAAUUUCUUUAUAUACGGCGGAUUUGUUGGCGUGCCUGGAGAACGAGACAUCCGGGGCGUGACAAAUUGUAAAUUUAUAAAUUAAUUAAUAAUUAAUAAAAUUAUUAAUUAAUUAAUUAUUAAUACUUAUAAAUAAUAAUACAUUAAUUAAUAAUAAAUUAAUUAUAAAUUAAUAAACUAAUUAAUAAUUAAUUAAUUAUAAAUUAAUUAAUAAAUAAAUAAAUUAUUAAUAUAUAUAACAAUAAUAAUUUUAUUAAUAAUUAUAAAUAAUAAAUAAAUAAAUUAUUUUAUUAUUUAAGCUACAAAUAAUUAUUUAAUAUAUUAAUUAGAUUAAUUAAUGCUUUAAUAUCAUAACUAAAUUAAAUUUAGACUUUAAUUAACGUUGUUCCUACCUAUAAACAAGCUUGUUCCAGCAAAAAUGGUGGAACAGCAGUUCUAGUCUUAUGCCAGUUCAUUUCAGAAAUUCGAAAACUACCGUUUUCGGGUACCAAACGCAUCGUUUGGGAACAAAGGAGGAAACAAAGCCUUAUUCUCUAUUGUUUCCGAACCAAACACUGUCUUAUAAAUCGCCUUGAAUAAAUCACAUGGACCACAUUUCAACAGUCACCACUAUCAUUCUAACACUACAAAUUAAUCCUUUAUUUAAGGACCAAAACAUCAUAAACAUCAACUUCUUUUUACUUUCGAAAGAAUAGUAGCUCUCUUUCUCUAUAUAUAUAUAUAUAUACACACACACUUAUUGUUGACACACAGUGUACUUGUAAGUUUCCUGUACAGUACGCAUACAGGAUUAGCAUGUAUUACCAAUGGAAAACCAAUUCUGGCCACCAACCUUGAUAUUUCGUCACUACACACCAUGUAUAAGAUAGAGGACAAGCUUUUCUGUUCAAUCUGCACGUUUAGAACAACUAAAAAUGUUGUUGUUACCGACCGUCCCUAGCGCAAGUGACAAAAGGAUUUGGUGGUUGAUACCUGAGAACCAAGUUUGAGUCCUAAUUGAUUCACAUUUCCAGCUAAGUUUAUUUCUAAAUAAAAUAAACGAAACGGAUAGCAUGCUAUCUUUCUCUCAAAAUAAAAAAUGUUGUCAUUCAUUAUUUUCAUAAGAUCACACCCACAUACCAC